Molecule: ribosomal RNA, 1346 nt
Filed under: uncultured bacterium
Lineage: Bacteria
Description: partial 16S ribosomal RNA
Rfam family: Bacterial small subunit ribosomal RNA
Source: RNAcentral
GACGAACGCUCGGUGCGUGCUUAACACAUGCAAGUCGAACGGAAAGGCCCUGCUUUUGUGGGGUGCUCGAGUGGCGAACGGGUGAGUAACACGUGAGUAACCUGCCCUUGACUUUGGGAUAACUUCAGGAAACUGGGGCUAAUACCGGAUAGGAGCUCCUGCUGCAUGGUGGGGGUUGGAAAGUUUCGGCGGUUGGGGAUGGACUCGCGGCUUAUCAGCUUGUUGGUGGGGUAGUGGCUUACCAAGGCUUUGACGGGUAGCCGGCCUGAGAGGGUGACCGGCCACAUUGGGACUGAGAUACGGCCCAGACUCCUACGGGAGGCAGCAGUGGGGAAUAUUGCACAAUGGGCGGAAGCCUGAUGCAGCAACGCCGCGUGCGGGAUGACGGCCUUCGGGUUGUAAACCGCUUUCGCCUGUGACGAAGCGUGAGUGACGGUAAUGGGUAAAGAAGCACCGGCUAACUACGUGCCAGCAGCCGCGGUGAUACGUAGGGUGCGAGCGUUGUCCGGAUUUAUUGGGCGUAAAGGGCUCGUAGGUGGUUGAUCGCGUCGGAAGUGUAAUCUUGGGGCUUAACCCUGAGCGUGCUUUCGAUACGGGUUGACUUGAGGAAGGUAGGGGAGAAUGGAAUUCCUGGUGGAGCGGUGGAAUGCGCAGAUAUCAGGAGGAACACCAGUGGCGAAGGCGGUUCUCUGGGCCUUUCCUGACGCUGAGGAGCGAAAGCGUGGGGAGCGAACGGGCUUAGAUACCCUGGUAGUCCACGCUGUAAACGGUGGGUACUAGGUGUGGGGUCCAUUCCACGGGUUCCGUGCCGUAGCUAACGCUUUAAGUACCCCGCCUGGGGAGUACGGCCGCAAGGCUAAAACUCAAAGGAAUUGACGGGGCCCCGCACAAGCGGCGGAGCAUGCGGAUUAAUUCGAUGCAACGCGUAGAACCUUACCUGGGUUUGACAUGGAUCGGGAGUGCUCAGAGAUGGGUGUGCCUCUUUUGGGGUCGGUUCACAGGUGGUGCAUGCCUGUCGUCAGCUCGUGUCGUGAGAUGUUGGGUUAAGUCCCGCAACGAGCGCAACCCUUGUUCACUGUUGCCAGCACGUUAUGGUGGGGACUCAGUGGAGACCGCCGGGGUCAACUCGGAGGAAGGUGGGGAUGACGUCAAGUCAUCAUGCCCCUUAUGUCCAGGGCUUCACGCAUGCUACAAUGGCUGGUACAGAGAGUGGCGAGCCUGUGAGGGUGAGCGAAUCUCGGAAAGCCGGUCUCAGUUCGGAUUGGGGUCUGCAACUCGACCUCAUGAAGUCGGAGUCGCUAGUAAUCGCAGAUCAGCAACGCUGCGGUGAAUACGUUCCCGAGGCG